AGUUUUGUGCAGUGGCAGUGUCAUAGCCAGUGAGGUUUAUCUGAGGCACGAUUAUUGCUAAUUGAAAACAGAAUGUACAUAAAUAGCAAGUCAGUUACUCCUCCAGGAAGGUCUCCUAAGAAAUCAAGAAUAGCCUUAUUUUGGAAAUAUCUCCACAGCCAUCUGUGGG
Molecule: small nuclear RNA, 169 nt
Filed under: Saimiri boliviensis boliviensis (Bolivian squirrel monkey)
Lineage: Eukaryota; Metazoa; Chordata; Mammalia; Primates; Cebidae
Description: U4 spliceosomal RNA (ENSSBOG00000003246.1)
Rfam family: U4 spliceosomal RNA
About the family: U4 small nuclear RNA (U4 snRNA) is a component of the major U2-dependent spliceosome. The structure of U4 snRNA from yeast and human has been reported. U4 snRNA presents a k-turn RNA motif in the 5p-SL related to recognition of Snu13 protein.
Source: RNAcentral